Molecule: ribosomal RNA, 539 nt
Filed under: Fusarium fujikuroi
Lineage: Eukaryota; Fungi; Ascomycota; Sordariomycetes; Hypocreales; Nectriaceae
Description: LSU rRNA
Rfam family: Eukaryotic large subunit ribosomal RNA
Source: RNAcentral
ACGGCGAGUGAGCGGCAACAGCUCAAUUUGAAAUCUGGCUCUCGGGCCCGAGUUGUAACUUGUAGAGGAUACUUUUGAUGCGGUGCCUUCCGAGUUCCCUGGAACGGGACGCCAUAGAGGGUGAGAGCCCCGUCUGGUUGGAUGCCAAAUCUCUGUAAAGUUCCUUCGACGAGUCGAGUAGUUUGGGAAUGCUGCUCUAAAUGGGAGGUAUAUGUCUUCUAAAGCUAAAUACCGGCCAGAGACCGAUAGCGCACAAGUAGAGUGAUCGAAAGAUGAAAAGCACUUUGAAAAGAGAGUUAAAAAGUACGUGAAAUUGUUGAAAGGGAAGCGUUUAUGACCAGACUUGGGCUUGGUUAAUCAUCUGGGGUUCUCCCCAGUGCACUUUUCCAGUCCAGGCCAGCAUCAGUUUUCCCCGGGGGAUAAAGACUUCGGGAAUGUGGCUCUCUUCGGGGAGUGUUAUAGCCCGUUGUGUAAUACCCUGGGGGGGACUGAGGUUCGCGCAUCUGCAAGGAUGCUGGCGUAAUGGUCAUCAACGACCC